Molecule: long non-coding RNA, 628 nt
Organism: Myodes glareolus (Bank vole)
Lineage: Eukaryota; Metazoa; Chordata; Mammalia; Rodentia; Cricetidae
Source: RefSeq, a predicted model, not a curated record
ACGCUGGGGCGGAGUCUCGAGAGCCGGCGGAAGCAGCGAGCACAGGCAGGAGCACUGCGGCUGCGGGGGAGGCCUGUCACGUGCGUUUGGAGAACCCGGCGCUAGGGGGCUCUUGAAAGCCAAGUUGGAACCUGGGCAUAACGACCCCAUAGAGUGUCCCUCUGUGCCCGGUCCAGAACGAACUCCCGGAACCAGGAACUUGGAAUCCUUUUGUCACACACCAGUUUGGUACAGAAGAGCAGAAACGUAGAAAUACAGCACGUUUAGAAUUGCUGAAACAUCUGAACAAGAUUUAGGGAAAAAAACCUGAUGUCGUGGGUCAGAACCAGUCACAAACACCAAUAAACUGAAGAAUAAAAUUGGAAUCUUAAAGUAGGCAUGCCCAAAUCCCGUCUCCUAGAAGAUUCUAACAGAUAGACAGUAUUGACCAUCAUACAACUUUAAGAGGAAAUCUGGGACUGGAGAGAUGGCUCAGCAGUUAAGAGCACGGACUGCUCUUCCAGAGGACGCAGGUUCAACUCCCAGCACUCACAUGGCAGCUUACAACUGUCUGUAACCUCAGUCCUGGAGACCUGACACCUUCUCACCAAUGCACAUAAAAUAAAAUAAAAUAAAAUAAAAUAAAAUA